This 468-nucleotide ribosomal RNA is filed under the name uncultured bacterium. RNAcentral describes it as "partial 16S ribosomal RNA". It matches the Rfam family "Bacterial small subunit ribosomal RNA", at positions 28 to 507 of the family's 1533-position model. The record is from RNAcentral.
GACGAACGCUGGCGGCGUGCUUAACACAUGCAAGUCGAACGGAAAGGCCCUGCUUUUGUGGGGUGCUCGAGUGGCGAACGGGUGAGUAACACGUGAGUAACCUGCCCUUGACUUUGGGAUAACUUCAGGAAACUGGGGCUAAUACCGGAUAGGAGCUCCUGCUGCAUGGUGGGGGUUGGAAAGUUUCGGCGGUUGGGGAUGGACUCGCGGCUUAUCAGCUUGUUGGUGGGGUAGUGGCUUACCAAGGCUUUGACGGGUAGCCGGCCUGAGAGGGUGACCGGGCACAUAGGGGGUGAGAUAGAGCCCAGACUGCGACGGGAGGCAGCAGUGGGGAAGAGUGGACAAUGGGCGGACGCGUGAUGCAGCAACUCCGCGUGAGGGAAGACGGCCUUGGGGUUGUAAACCGCUUUCGCCUGGGACGAAGCGUGAGUGACGGUAAUGGGUAAAGAAGAACCGGCUAGCUACGUG